ACCCACCACAGAAGGUAAUAGUCCUGUAUGUUAAACGAGAAGACUUUAGAUAUGAUCCAGAGUACCACGGGACACGUGAAACCCUGUGGGAAGCAGGAGGGACCACCCUCCAAGGCUAAAUACUACCUAGUGACCGAUAGCGUAUAGUACCGUGAGGGAAAGGUGAAAAGAACCCCGGGAGGGGAGUGAAAUAGAACCUGAAACCCUGCACUUACAAGCUGUGGAAGCACAUUUCUUGUGUGACCGCGUACUUUUUGUAGAACGGGCCAACGAGUUACGUUAAGUAGCAAGGUUAAGCACUUAAGGUGCGGAGCCGUAGCGAAAGCGAGUUUUAACUGAGCGUUCAGUUACUUGACGUAGACCCGAAACCGGGCGACCUACCCAUGAGCAGGAUGAAGCGAAAGUAAAAUUUCGUGGAGGUCCGAACCCACGAGCGUUGAAAAGCUCGGGGAUGACUUGUGGGUAGCGGUGAAAUUCCAAUCGAGCCCGGAGAUAGCUGGUUCUCCCCGAAAUAGCUUUAGGGCUAGCCUCAAGGUGAGAGAUACGGAGGUAGAGCACUGAAUGUCCUAGGGGGUAUUGCACCUACCGAAGACUAUCAAACUCCGAAUGCCGUCAUCUUAUACUUGGGAGUCAGACUGUGGGUGAUAAGAUUCAUAGUCGAAAGGGCAACAGCCCAGAUCGUCAGCUAAGGUCCCUAAAUGUAAGUUAAGUGGUAAAGGAUGUGGGAUUGCACAGACAACCAGGAUGUUGGCUUAGAAGCAGCCACUCAUUCAAAGAGUGCGUAAUAGCUCACUGGUCGAGUGAUCCUGCGCCGAAGAUUUCCGGGGCUAAAACUUACUACCGAAGCUACGGCAUCAGUAAUGAUGGGUAGGGGAGCUUCCCAUACGGGUUGAAGCAUGACCGUAAGGACAUGUGGACAGUAUGGGAGUGAGAAUGUUGGCAUGAGUAGCGAGAUGUGGGUGAGAAUCCCACAGGCCGUAAACCCAAGGUUUCCAGGGGAAGGUUCGUCCGCCCUGGGUUAGUCGGGACCUAAGCUGAGGCCGAAAGGCGUAGGUGAUGGACAACAGGUUGAUAUUCCUGUACUACCGAUAACCGUUUGAGAGAAGGGAUGACACAGUAGGAUAAGCUAAGCACACUGUUGGUUAUGUGUGCCCAAGCAUUGAGGCAGUCAAAGUAGGCAAAUCCGCUUUGAUAAUGCUGGGAUGUGAUGGGGAGCGAAAUUUAGUAGCGAAGUAGCUGAUUUCACACUGUCAAGAAAAGUCUCUAUCGAGGUUAAAGGUACCCGUACCGCAAACCGACACAGGUGGGUGAGGAGAGUAUCCUAAGGCCAGCGAGAGAACUGUUGUUAAGGAACUCGGCAAAAUGACCCCGUAACUUAGGGAUAAGGGGUGCCACCAUCAGGUGGCCGCAGAGAAUAGGCCCAAGCGACUGUUUACCAAAAACAUAGGUUUCUGCUAAGUCGCAAGACGAUGUAUAGGAGCUGACGCCUGCCCGGUGCUGGAAGGUUAAGGGGAUCUGUUAGAGCAAUCGAAGCAGUGAACUUAAGCCCCAGUAAACGGCGGCCGUAACUAUAACGGUCCUAAGGUAGCGAAAUUCCUUGUCGGGUAAGUUCCGACCCGCACGAAAGGCGUAACGAUUUGGGCACUGUCUCAACAACAGACUCGGUGAAAUUGUAAUUCCGGUGAAGAUGCCGGAUACCUGCGACAGGACGGAAAGACCCCAUGGAGCUUUACUGUAGCUUGACAUUGGGUCUUGGUACUACAUGUACAGGAUAGGUGGGAGGCUUUGAAACCAGGACGCCAGUUUUGGCGGAGCCAUCCUUGGGAUACCACCCUUGUAGUACUGGGACUCUAACCAUAGGCCAUGAAUCUGGUCUUGGGACACUGUCAGGUGGGCAGUUUGACUGGGGCGGUCGCCUCCCAAAAGGUAACGGAGGCGCUCAAAGGUUCUCUCAGUACGGUCGGAAAUCGUACGUAGAGUGUAAAGGCAAAAGAGAGCUUGAUUGCAAGACAUACAGGUCGAGCAAGGAUGAAAAUCGGACUUAGUGAUCCGGUGGUUCUGCGUGGAAGGGCCAUCGCUCAACGGAUAAAAGCUACCCUGGGGAUAACAGGCUUAUCUCCCCCAAGAGUCCACAUCGACGGGGAGGUUUGGCACCUCGAUGUCGGCUCAUCACAUCCUGGGGCUGUAGUAGGUCCCAAGGGUUGGGCUGUUCGCCCAUUAAAGUGGUACGCGAGCUGGGUUCAGAACGUCGUGAGACAGUUCGGUCCCUAUCCGUCGCAGGCGUAGGAAAUUUGAGAAGACCUGUCCUUAGUACGAGAGGACCGGGAUGGACGUACCUCUGGUGUACCAGUUGUCCUGCCAAGGGCAUGGCUGGGUAGCUAUGUACGGAAUGGAUAAGCGCUGAAAGCAUCUAAGCGCGAAGCCAACUUCAAGAUAAGAUUUCCCACCGCAAGGGUAAGACCCCAGAAAGACUAUCUGGUUGAUAGGUCGAAGGUGUAAGUGCAGCAAUGUAUUUAGCUUAUCGAUACUAAUAGGUCGAGGACUUGACC
Molecule: ribosomal RNA, 2549 nt
Filed under: Clostridioides difficile
Lineage: Bacteria; Bacillati; Bacillota; Clostridia; Peptostreptococcales; Peptostreptococcaceae
Description: bacterial LSU rRNA
Rfam family: Bacterial large subunit ribosomal RNA
Source: RNAcentral